GACGAACGCUGGCGGCGUGCUUAACACAUGCAAGUCGAACGGUAAGGCCCUUCGGGGUACACGAGUGGCGAACGGGUGAGUAACACGUGGGUGAUCUGCCCUGCACUUCGGGAUAAGUCUGGGAAACUGGUUCUAAUAUCGGUGAGGACCACUGCCUGCAUGGGUGGUGGUGGAAACCUUUUGCGUUGUGGGAUGGGCCCGCGGCCUAUCGGGUUGUUGGUGGGGUGAGGGCCUACCAAGGCGACGACGGGUAGCCGGCCUGAGAGGGUGACCGGCCACACUGGGACUGAGAUACGGCCCAGACUCCUACGGGAGGCAGCAGUGGGGAAUACUGCACAAUGGGCGCAAGCCUGAUGCAGCGACGCCGCGUGAGGGAUGACGGCCUUCGGGUUGUAAACCUCUUUCAGCACCGACGAAGCGCAAGUGACGGUAGGUGCAGAAGAAGGACCGGCCAACUACGUGCCAGCCGCCGCCGUAA
RNAcentral lists this ribosomal RNA (478 nucleotides) under uncultured bacterium. Its description in RNAcentral is "partial 16S ribosomal RNA". It matches the Rfam family "Bacterial small subunit ribosomal RNA", at positions 28 to 523 of the family's 1533-position model. The record is from RNAcentral.